Molecule: transfer RNA, 72 nt
Filed under: Actinomycetota bacterium
Lineage: Bacteria; Bacillati; Actinomycetota
Also listed under: 2 other names
Description: Actinobacteria bacterium tRNA-Val
Rfam family: tRNA
About the family: Transfer RNA (tRNA) molecules are approximately 80 nucleotides in length. Their secondary structure includes four short double-helical elements and three loops (D, anti-codon, and T loops).
Source: RNAcentral
GGGCGCGUAGCUCAGUGGGAGAGCGCUGCCUUCACACGGCAGAGGUCGCAGGUUCAAAACCUGCCGCGCCCA